UACGUAGGGGGCGAGCGUUGUCCGGAGUUACUGGGCAUAAAGGGCAUGCAGGCGGUCGGACGCGUUUUGUGUGACAGCGGGUGGCUCAACUACCCGAGCAUGCGAAAGACGGUCGGACUUGAGGACUCGAGAGGGACACGGAAUUCCGGGUGGAGUGGUGAAAUGCGUAGAGAUCCGGAGGAACACCGAAGGCGAAGGCAGUGUCCUGGCGAGUGACUGACGCUGAGGUGCGAAAGCCAGGGGAGCGAACGGG
RNAcentral lists this ribosomal RNA (253 nucleotides) under uncultured bacterium. RNAcentral's name for it is "partial 16S ribosomal RNA". It matches the Rfam family "Bacterial small subunit ribosomal RNA", at positions 524 to 776 of the family's 1533-position model. The record is from RNAcentral.